This 443-nucleotide ribosomal RNA is filed under the name Clostridium botulinum C/D. Its description in RNAcentral is "bacterial SSU rRNA". It matches the Rfam family "Bacterial small subunit ribosomal RNA", at positions 1095 to 1533 of the family's 1533-position model. The record is from RNAcentral. Lineage: Bacteria; Bacillati; Bacillota; Clostridia; Eubacteriales; Clostridiaceae.
AGCGCAACCCUUAUUGUUAGUUGCUACUAUUAAGUUAAGCACUCUAACGAGACUGCCGCGGUUAACGUGGAGGAAGGUGGGGAUGACGUCAAAUCAUCAUGCCCCUUAUGUCUAGGGCUACACACGUGCUACAAUGGCUGGUACAACGAGCAGCAAACCCGCGAGGGGGAGCAAAACUUGAAAGCCAGUCCCAGUUCGGAUUGUAGGCUGAAACUCGCCUACAUGAAGUUGGAGUUGCUAGUAAUCGCGAAUCAGCAUGUCGCGGUGAAUACGUUCCCGGGUCUUGUACACACCGCCCGUCACACCAUGAGAGCCGGUAACACCCGAAGCCCGUGAGGUAACCGUAAGGAGCCAGCGGUCGAAGGUGGGAUUGGUGAUUGGGGUGAAGUCGUAACAAGGUAGCCGUAGGAGAACCUGCGGCUGGAUCACCUCCUUUCUAGGGA